RNAcentral lists this ribosomal RNA (364 nucleotides) under uncultured bacterium. RNAcentral describes it as "partial 16S ribosomal RNA". It matches the Rfam family "Bacterial small subunit ribosomal RNA", at positions 338 to 699 of the family's 1533-position model. The record is from RNAcentral.
CCUACGGGAGGCAGCAGUGAGGAAUAUUGGGCAAUGGACGCAAGUCUGAACCAGCCAUGCCGCGUGCAGGAAGACGGCUCUAUGAGUUUUAAACUGCUUUUUUACGAGGGUAAACGCAGAUACUCGUAUCUGUCUGAAAGUAGCGUACGAAUAAGGAUCGGCUAACUACGUGACAGCAGCCGCGGUAAUACGGAGGAUUCAAGCGUUAUCCGGAGUUAUUGGGUGUAAAGGUUGUGUAGGCGGUCGGAUAAGUUAGAGGUGAAAUCCCGGGGCUCAACUGCGGAAUUGCGUCUGAUACUGUUCGGCUAGAGAGUAGUAGCGGUAGGCGGAAUGUAUGGUGUAGCGGUGAAAUGCUUAGAGAUAA